RNAcentral lists this ribosomal RNA (814 nucleotides) under Phytophthora megasperma. RNAcentral's name for it is "eukaryotic LSU rRNA". The stretch from base 230 to 384 matches the Rfam family "5.8S ribosomal RNA". Lineage: Eukaryota; Oomycota; Peronosporomycetes; Peronosporales; Peronosporaceae. The record is from RNAcentral.
CCACACCAUAAAAAACUUUCCACGUGAACCGUAUCAACCCCUUAAAUUUGGGGGCUUGCUCGGCGGCGUGUGUGCUGGCCUGUAAUGGGUCGGCGUGCUGCUGCUGGGCGGGCUCUAUCAUGGGCGAGCGUUUGGGCUUCGGCUCGAGCUAGUAGCUAUCAAUUUUAAACCCUUUCUUAAAUACUGAACAUACUGUGGGGACGAAAGUCUCUGCUUUUAACUAGAUAGCAACUUUCAGCAGUGGAUGUCUAGGCUCGCACAUCGAUGAAGAACGCUGCGAACUGCGAUACGUAAUGCGAAUUGCAGGAUUCAGUGAGUCAUCGAAAUUUUGAACGCAUAUUGCACUUCCGGGUUAGUCCUGGGAGUAUGCCUGUAUCAGUGUCCGUACAUCAACCUUGGUUUUCUUCCUUCCGUGUAGUCGGUGGAGGAUAUGCCAGAUGUGAAGUGUCUUGCUAGCGGUCUUUCGAGUCUGCCGGUGAGUCCUUUUAAAUGUACUGAACUGUACUCUCUCUUUGCGCGAAAAGCGUGGCGUUGCUGGUUGUGGAGGCUGCCCGUGUGGCCAGUCGGCGACCGGUUUGUUAGCUGUGGCGUUUGGAGGAGUGUUCGAUUCGCGGUAUGGUUGGCUUCGGCUAAACAAUCUGCUUAUUGGGUGCUUUUCCUGUCAUGGCGGUAUGAACUGGUGAACCGUAGCUGUGUGGUGCUUGGCUUUUGAACCGGCUUUGCUUUGCGAAGUAGUGUGACGGCUUCGGCUGUCGAGGGGUCGAUCCAUUUUGGGAAACUUUGUGUGUGCGGCUUCGUGCUGCGCGCAUCUCAA